RNAcentral lists this unclassified non-coding RNA (648 nucleotides) under Hevea brasiliensis (rubber tree). The record is from RNAcentral. Lineage: Eukaryota; Viridiplantae; Streptophyta; Magnoliopsida; Malpighiales; Euphorbiaceae.
CCAGACUAUGGUCGUGGUCGAGAUAGGCCUAUUUCUGACUUCGAUCGCGGUAGAGAUCGGCCAAAUUCUGACUUUGGUCGUGGUAGAGAUCAGCUAAGUCCUGACUAUGGUCGUGGCCCUAGUCGAAGUCCUAAGCACAGGGAAGGGAAUUCUGAGUAUGGCCGUGGCCAUAGUCCAGCUGUAGGAAAGGAGAGAAAUCCUGGUCAUGGGAAUGUUCGUAGCCCUAGCCCUCGUAGGGAAAGAACAGGUCCAGGAAAUGGUCUUAUGAGCAGUCCACUGAACAUAAGUCCUGGUUAUGGUGAUGGACCCAGUCCUAGUGCUCAGAGGGAGAGGAGAGAUAAAUAUAGCCCGGAUGGUCAUAAUCGUGGCAGCAGCCCAGGUCCUAAACCUGAACCAGUAGGAAGUCCUGUACGUGAUGGUAGGGGAAGUUCAGAGUGAUGCAGGAGUCGUUCGCCUCCAGCUCGGGAAAGAUCGCGCUCCUGAUUUGCUUGAAGCUGUUUUUAUACUUGGAAGUAAUAUCUGUAGGAUGGUUAUGUUGAAAGUGGUGCUGUAGAAUUACACCUUGAAGUUGCUUGGAAUAUCAAAGUACGUAGCAUGUGGGUUUUAGAACCAAUGUAAUAUACCUUGGGAGAUGGUUUUUGCUCUUGG